Molecule: ribosomal RNA, 253 nt
Filed under: uncultured bacterium
Lineage: Bacteria
Description: partial 16S ribosomal RNA
Rfam family: Bacterial small subunit ribosomal RNA
Source: RNAcentral
UACGUAGGGAGCAAGCGUUGUCCGGAAUCAUUGGGCGUAAAGCGCGCGCAGGCGGCUGGUCAAGUCCGAUGUGAAAUCUCCCGGCUUAACUGGGAAACUGCAUCGGAAACUGAUCGGCUUGAAGGUGGGAGAGGGUAGUGGAAUUCCCGGUGUAGUGGUGAAAUGCGUAGAUAUCGGGAGGAACACCAGUGGCGAAGGCGACUACCUGGCCCAUUCUUGACGCUGAGGCGCGAAAGCUAGGGGAGCGAACGGG